Molecule: long non-coding RNA, 687 nt
Filed under: Setaria viridis
Lineage: Eukaryota; Viridiplantae; Streptophyta; Magnoliopsida; Poales; Poaceae
Description: long non-coding RNA (SVIR_LNC008297)
Source: RNAcentral
GAGGGGGCUACCCCCUUGCAGCGCAGCCACGAACGGACCCCCGGGCCAUAGCAGCUGCAGCGGAACCGAUCGACAGAAGAUCAUGGCCGCCGCCUCCUCCGCCGUCUCUGGCCUCGCCGGCGCCGCCCUCGCCAGCCGGCCGGCUUUCUCCACCAGUAUGUGCACAAUGCCCCUUCUUGCAUGCGCAGUUGUAUCAUGUAUGGAGGUGGAGAACUGAUGACGUUGACGAUCCUUGCGUUGCAGGCUUCGUGCGGGGCGGCCGGGUGUCGGCCAGGAACCCGCUGAUGACGAGGAACCUGGAGAGGAACGGCAGGAUCACCUGCAUGACGUGAGUACACCUCUGGCUAGCUUUGCCCAAGAGCGGCAGCGCGCGUUGUUCAUGUUGUCUCUGUGAAAUCGUUGCUGAUCGAUCUCGGCGGUUUUUUCCUUUCCCGUGUACGUGCUCGCCAGGUUUCCCCGGGACUGGCUGCGGAGGGACCUGAGCGUGAUCGGCUUCGGCCUCAUCGGGUGGAUCGGCCCGUCCAGCGUCCCCGUCAUCAACGGCAACAGCCUCACGGGCCUCUUCUUCUCCAGCAUCGGCGAGGAGCUCGCCCACUUCCCCACGCCCCCGCCAGUCACCUCCCAGUUCUGGUCAGGCUCAAGACCUCGCGCUCACGCUCUGCCUGGCCACUGUUUCUGACUUUCUGU